Culex pipiens pallens (northern house mosquito) is the source of this 918-nucleotide long non-coding RNA. RefSeq lists it as uncharacterized. The transcript has 2 exons. The record is from RefSeq and is a predicted model, not a curated record. Lineage: Eukaryota; Metazoa; Arthropoda; Insecta; Diptera; Culicidae.
AUUCACUUUAUACGCAUAGAGGUAAAAUUGAGUGGCGACGGGUAGAGUUGAUAUAAAGUUAUACCGUGGUAAAAUGUCAAAAUACUGCUUUACCGACAGUAUUAAAAAUAGAAACAUUCAAAAAGCUUUGCGCAGCUCUCUCUUUCUGGGGAGAGUGCUUUUCACGCUGAGAUUAUGUUUUUGAAAGCUUAUUUGUGAUUUUUUGUUGAGUUCCUCUAGAUUGGAGAUUUUAAACGGCGUGUUGAAUUGAAUUUUUAUGAGAUGUUUCUCCUUGAUGCGCUGCGCCAACCGUCUCGUCCGUUCUGAAAUAUGUAUGAACAGUUGAUGUUUUUCAAUACAGUCAGUCAGAACAACUUUAUUUUACUCAGGGAAAAUAAAAACACCUGGCAGGUUAAAUAGGAGCAUUUAUUCUUCACUUAGCUACAAAGGUUAAUCACGAUAUAACGCACUUGUAUAUUUACUUUUUUCAUCCUUUAUUCCUCAUUAAUUACAUUUCCUGAGUUUGUAAAAGGAAACAUGCACAGCGUCACAAAAAAGCCACCACAAAAAUGUCAGCACUCUCUCUCGCGGCGACCUCCCUUCGGCGAGGCAAAUCGGACGGGAUCGGCAUCACGUCUUCGAUGCGGCCAGGGCUCAGAGUGCCGACUAGGCACCCGGUCCUGGCGUCUUGGAGCGGUUUCCGCCGAUGGCAUGCAGCUUCCGCCGGUGUGCGCGCCGUGGUGAUUCUGAGCGACUUUUCAGCGACGCCCUGAGCGGCCAACGAAGCGGCUCGCCCUCGCGGACCUACGGUUCGAGCACACAGCAAAACCUGGACCUCCUCCUUUCCGGAUUUUGUUUUUGCCAUCGCAGCUAGAAAUAAGAAUAAUUUUAAACAAAACCUAGUUAAAUUUAAUGUAAUAAACUCACCUUUUUUAUAGA